This 1453-nucleotide long non-coding RNA is filed under the name Homo sapiens (human). RNAcentral's name for it is "novel transcript". The record is from RNAcentral. Lineage: Eukaryota; Metazoa; Chordata; Mammalia; Primates; Hominidae.
AGCUUUACGGACCUCCCGAAGGAGAAGGCAGAUGGGACGGAGCAGGUGGAGAGACGAGAGCUUGGAUUCGUCCAGCCUUCUGGAGUGACAGAUGGCAUGAGAGAGUCCUUCACCGUAUAUGAAAGCCAGGGGGCAGUGCCAAACACGUGGCACCAGGAGAUGGAAGAUGUCAUCAGGCUGGCCCAGAAGGAGGAGGAGAUGAAGGUGAAUCUGCUGGAGCUGCAAGAGCUGGUGUUGCCCCUUGUGGGCAACCAUGAGGGGCAUGGCAAAUUCCUCACCGCUGCCCAGAACCCUGCUGAUGAGCCCACUCCAGGGCCCCCAGCCCCCCAGGAACUGGGGGCUGCCGGUGAGCAGGAUGAUUUUUAUGAAGUGAGCCUGGACAACAAUGUGGAGCCUGCACCAGGAGCGGCCAGGGAGGGUUCUCCCCAUGACAACCCCACUGCACAGCAGAUCGUGCAGCUGUCUCCUGUAAUGCAGGACACCUAGGAGCACCCAGGCUUGCCCAGCAAACCCUGCGUGCCAUUCUUUUACCAGGCAGCCGAGAACAGGGAGAUAAACAUCAUCAUCUUCUAAGAGCUGGUCAAGAAAUUUAAAACAACAACAACAACAAAAAGUUACAGGGUUCAUCUCCUACACAAUUCAUUUACUCCAUUUGAAUGCUAGAGCCACUCACAUUUAUUUGUGUUUCUAAUUUACCGUUUAAAUUUAUUUGUAAAAAGUUAAGGGAGAGUUGGUCUUUCCCUGAUGUUCUUUCUGGCAUCCUUUAGCAUUUUUAUUUUUUACUUGAUAAUUGUAGGUCAUUAGCACGCAUAUCGAGUUUGCCCUUAGGUGGUGGGAAUUCAUACACACAAAGACCCACUAUUUGCACAAAACUAUUCUUGCUGGUUUGGAACAGGCUGCCAUGCUUUUUAAAUGUUAUUGCAGCACAUAUAUUCAUUACAGAAUUCAGAUAAAAUGUGCUUAUGUUCUGCUAUUACGUUUGAUUGAAUCCUAACCACAGUGAGCUCUUCAUUAGCUCAAUAUGUGGUUUGCCCUCAAGUGCGCACUGUUUAUUACUUUGUAAUAUGCCACUGUGAGUACUGACAUUUAGAGUUGUUUAAAGGCCGAGAACUGGAAACAGCCUUUCCCCUAUUUUCUGUGUAUUGGGGAUGGGAGUCAUAACAUUUUGGGGAGCUUUUUAAAUCUCACAGAAGAGGAAAGUGGCCUGCUCUGGCAGGUGUGUGCAGGAUACAGUGUGUUUCAUUUGUUCUGGUGCCAAGAAUGAGCACUGUACUAUGGUAGUUCCCUUAGGAUUUGUGUGUGCUCUGGGCUUAUGAAGAUAUUGCAUCAUGAGCUGCAGCAGUUGUACCCUUUCUCGAUGACCUAAAAAGGGAUUAUUUCUGAGGAAUGAAAGGCUCCCAUCAUUGACUGUGGAUGUGGAAAACCUUUUCUAGCGUAGAGCAUUUAUAUCUAC